Aplysia californica (California sea hare) is the source of this 536-nucleotide long non-coding RNA. RefSeq lists it as uncharacterized. The record is from RefSeq and is a predicted model, not a curated record. The annotation marks the transcript as partial. Lineage: Eukaryota; Metazoa; Mollusca; Gastropoda; Aplysiida; Aplysiidae. The transcript has 3 exons.
CCGUGGCCAAGGCCGAGAGGCUGGAGAGCGACAUCUGUGAGGCGGAGAACGUGUGCCAGAGUGCGGACUACCUGUGUAACUCCACCACACGCACCUGUCAACACCUGUGUUUCUCACACCUGUGUCCACCCAACGCCCAGUGCCUGGUCGAGGCAGACAGCAGUGAACAAACACGACUCGCAGUAUGCAGGUGCAAGUCAGAUUCCAAGUACGUGUACGGAGGGGAAGAUUGCUCCCAAGUGGCGGAGAAACUAGACUUGGACUCUUCCACCAUCAUUGUCCUGGCAGUGUGCCUCAGUCUGGGCCUUGUUCUUAUCGUCGUUCUCAUCGCCGUGCUCAUCUCCUGUCGACGGAAGAUACCAUGUUGCAGAAAGAGCGACGGAGAAAACAUGUCAUUCAGCGAGUUCGAGUCGACGGCUGGGAACGAGUUGUUCGGGCGGUCCGCCUGGUUAGGGGGCGUUUUCGGUUCCCGCCGAGGCAGGAUGGUGCCUGGCACGCCCCCGCUCACCCGCUCACUGAGGAAGAAAGGUUGGUGA